UACAAUAUACACUUUUUCGUA
RNAcentral lists this non-coding RNA (21 nucleotides) under Caenorhabditis elegans. Lineage: Eukaryota; Metazoa; Nematoda; Chromadorea; Rhabditida; Rhabditidae. The record is from RNAcentral.